This 126-nucleotide small RNA is filed under the name Marmota monax (woodchuck). The record is from RNAcentral. Lineage: Eukaryota; Metazoa; Chordata; Mammalia; Rodentia; Sciuridae.
GCCAGGCGCGGUGGCGCACGCCUGUGAUCCCAGUGGCUUGGAGGCUGAGGCAGGAGGAUCGUAAGUUCAAAGCCAGCCUCAGCAACUUAACAAGGCCCUAAACAACCCAGUGAGAUCCUGUCUCUA